This 741-nucleotide long non-coding RNA is filed under the name Homo sapiens (human). Its description in RNAcentral is "PAQR9 antisense RNA 1". The record is from RNAcentral. Lineage: Eukaryota; Metazoa; Chordata; Mammalia; Primates; Hominidae.
GGACUGGCUGCUCAAACUCCACAAUUUAAUGAAAAAUCUCAGAUGAUGACUCAGAAAACCUCUAAUGAUCUGAGGAAUAUAUUAAGGGAUUCCAGAGUCAAAGGCUGAUCAUGGAGGGCAUUGAUGAGGGAAGACUUCAGACCGAGUUGCGCUCUUGUCGCCGAAAAUGCAGUGCAAUGGCAUGAUCUCGGCUGACUGCAACCUCUGCCUCCUGGGUUCAAGCGAUUCUCCUGCCUCAGCCUCCCAAGUAGCUGGAACUAUAGCACGUUUUUCAGCACCAGGACAAGCAUCAUUGCUCAAGGAGAGCUUGGUUGACAACAGGAAGUUAGAAGGAGUCUGAAUUGUAACAAGUGUGGCAAGAGCACCAAGAUCACUGUGUGUGUGUGUUCACAGAAAAUGUACCAAAGGGAGAAGCCUUAAAAACAAAUGGCAGGUGUGGGCACCAGAAAAUCAACACAUCGGGAAGAGAAAAAUGGCAUGGUUUUACUGUAAUUGUAAAAAGACGCCCUAAAGAGUGUCUAUCGGAUCACCCUCAAGUUGGGUCAAACGGCUCCUCUUCUCGGCUUUUCGGGAGCAACCCUAUCUCAACAUUCACCAUCUUAAGAUGAGCAGACUGCAAGUUUGCCUCUCCCACCAGUAUGGGAGCUGCCGAAGCGGCAAGAACAGCGUUUCCGUCCAUCGAGCGCCAGGUCACCAGUCAGCUCCAGUCCUAUUUUGAGUUGAAGUAAAAGCUCCUCCCUA